GCAUUAGUGGUUCAGUGGUAGAAUUCUCGCCUUGCAUGCGGGAGACCCAGGUUCGAUUCUUGGCCAAUGCA
Trichechus manatus latirostris (Florida manatee) is the source of this 71-nucleotide non-coding RNA. The record is from the annotation of a RefSeq genome assembly. Lineage: Eukaryota; Metazoa; Chordata; Mammalia; Sirenia; Trichechidae.